Molecule: ribosomal RNA, 254 nt
Filed under: uncultured bacterium
Lineage: Bacteria
Description: partial 16S ribosomal RNA
Rfam family: Bacterial small subunit ribosomal RNA
Source: RNAcentral
CACGUAGGGUGCGAGCGUUGUCCGGAAUUAUUGGGCGUAAAGAGCUCGUAGGCGGUGUGUCGCGUCGGCCGUGAAAACCUGCAGCUUAACUGUGGGCUUGCGGUCGAUACGGGCAUCACUGGAGUUCGGCAGGGGAGACUGGAAUUCCUGGUGUAGCGGUGAAAUGCGCAGAUAUCGGGAGGAACACCAGUGGCGAAGGCGGCUUUCUGGCCCGUUCUUGACGCUGAGGCGCGAAAGCUAGGGUAGCAAACGGG